GGGGCCUAGAGGCUCUCCGCUGGGCCCGAGCGGGCUGGGGGAGGGGAGCGUGGGGCCGACAGUUUUGGGGGUGAAAAGGCAAAAAGCGGGUGAAAGGCUGCCUCCCGAGGCUCUCCUUGCUUGGAAUUCUGCCCACUCUGCGGAGUUAGGAGUCACGACCUCCAGCACAGGAUGUGGUACCACAGAUUGUCCCACCUACACAGCAGGCUUCAGGACUUGCUGAAGGGAGGAGUCAUAUAUCCGGCCCUUCCACAGCCCAACUUCAAAAGCUUACUUCCUUUAGCUGUCCAUUGGCACCAUACAGCCUCCAAGUCUCUGACUUGUGCUUGGCAGCAACAUGAAGAUCAUUUUGAGCUGAAAUAUGCUAAUACCGUGAUGCGCUUUGAUUAUGUCUGGCUUCGAGACCACUGCCGCUCAGCAUCGUGCUACAACUCUAAGACUCACCAGCGCAGCCUGGAUCCUGCCAGUGUGGAUUUAUGUAUCAAGCCAAAGACCAUUCAUCUGGAUGAGACCACACUCUUUUUUACUUGGCCAGAUGGUCAUGUGACUAAAUAUGAUUUGAAUUGGCUGGUGAAAAACAGCUAUGAAGGGCAGAAACAAAAAGUCAUCCAGCCUAGAAUACUAUGGAAUGCUGAAAUCUACCAGCAAGCCCAAGUUCCAUCUGUAGAUUGCCAGAGCUUCUUAGAAACCAAUGAGGGACUGAAGAAGUUUCUGCAAAACUUUCUGCUCUAUGGAAUUGCAUUUGUAGAAAAUGUCCCUCCCACUCAAGAGCACACAGAGAAGUUGGCAGAAAGGAUCAGCUUAAUCAGAGAAACCAUUUAUGGGAGGAUGUGGUAUUUCACUUCAGACUUCUCCAGAGGUGACACUGCAUACACCAAGCUAGCUCUGGAUCGGCACACUGACACUACCUAUUUUCAAGAGCCCUGUGGCAUUCAAGUGUUUCAUUGUCUUAAGCAUGAAGGAACUGGUGGCAGGACACUGCUAGUAGAUGGAUUCUAUGCAGCAGAACAGGUACUUCAAAAGGCACCUGAGGAAUUUGAACUCCUCAGUAAAGUGCCAUUGAAGCAUGAAUAUAUUGAAGAUGUUGGAGAAUGUCACAACCACAUGAUUGGGAUUGGGCCAGUCUUAAAUAUCUACCCAUGGAAUAAAGAGCUGUAUUUGAUCAGGUACAACAACUAUGACCGGGCUGUCAUCAAUACCGUUCCUUAUGAUGUCGUCCAUCGCUGGUAUACAGCACACCGGACUCUAACGACAGAGUUGAGGAGACCUGAGAAUGAGUUUUGGGUCAAACUAAAGCCUGGCAGGGUGGGUCCUAAUCUCUAAAGAUGUCAAGCAAGCUUGUAAUACUGAAGCAGUGAAGAACGGGUACUUACUUAAUAUGUCCUAUUUAUAGACAACUGGCGUGUCCUACAUGGCAGGGAAUGCUUCACUGGCUACCGCCAACUCUGUGGCUGCUAUUUAACAAGAGAUGAUGUAUUAAGCACUGCUCGCCUCUUGGGGCUUCAGGCUUAAAAUUGACAGCAUCGGGAUUAUGAAUACACCUGGCACCCUGGCUACCAGAAUUUCAUAUGGGCAGAAUAAUAUUGUGUCAAACUCUA
Nomascus leucogenys (northern white-cheeked gibbon) is the source of this 1598-nucleotide non-coding RNA. The record is from RefSeq and is a predicted model, not a curated record. Lineage: Eukaryota; Metazoa; Chordata; Mammalia; Primates; Hylobatidae.